GUCCGUAUGGUGCAGUGGUAGCAUAGUUGCCUUACAAGUGGGUCCUCACACGGAACGCAAAUGGUCCUAGGUUCGAACCCUAGUACGGACA
This 91-nucleotide transfer RNA is filed under the name Claviceps pusilla. It matches the Rfam family "tRNA". From Rfam's summary of the family: Transfer RNA (tRNA) molecules are approximately 80 nucleotides in length. Lineage: Eukaryota; Fungi; Ascomycota; Sordariomycetes; Hypocreales; Clavicipitaceae. The record is from Rfam by way of RNAcentral.